GACGAACGCUGGCGGCGUGCUUAACACAUGCAAGUCGAGCGGUAAGGCCCUUUCGGGGGUACACGAGCGGCGAACGGGUGAGUAACACGUGGGUGACCUGCCCUCAGCUCUGGGAUAAGCCUGGGAAACCGGGUCUAAUACUGGAUAUGACUCCAUGACGCAUGUUGUGGGGUGGAAAGCCUUGUGCGGCUGAGGAUGGGCCCGCGGCCUAUCAGCUUGUUGGUGGGGNGAUGGCCUACCAAGGCGACGACGGGUAGCCGGCCUGAGAGGGCGACCGGCCACACUGGGACUGAGACACGGCCCAGACUCCUACGGGAGGCAGCAGUGGGGAAUCUUGCGCAAUGGGCGAAAGCCUGACGCAGCGACGCCGCGUGGA
RNAcentral lists this ribosomal RNA (376 nucleotides) under uncultured bacterium. Its description in RNAcentral is "bacterial SSU rRNA". It matches the Rfam family "Bacterial small subunit ribosomal RNA", at positions 28 to 405 of the family's 1533-position model. The record is from RNAcentral.